Molecule: ribosomal RNA, 500 nt
Filed under: uncultured Chryseobacterium sp.
Lineage: Bacteria; Pseudomonadati; Bacteroidota; Flavobacteriia; Flavobacteriales; Weeksellaceae
Description: bacterial SSU rRNA
Rfam family: Bacterial small subunit ribosomal RNA
Source: RNAcentral
GAGAGUUUGAUCCUGGCUCAGGAUGAACGCUAGCGGGAGGCCUAACACAUGCAAGCCGAGCGGUAUUUGUUCUUCGGAACAGAGAGAGCGGCGCACGGGUGCGGAACACGUGUGCAACCUGCCUUUAUCUGGGGGAUAGCCUUUCGAAAGGAAGAUUAAUACCCCAUAAUAUAUUGAGUGGCAUCAUUUGAUAUUGAAAACUCCGGUGGAUAGAGAUGGGCACGCGCAAGAUUAGAUAGUUGGUGAGGUAACGGCUCACCAAGUCAAUGAUCUUUAGGGGGCCUGAGAGGGUGAUCCCCCACACUGGUACUGAGACACGGACCAGACUCCUACGGGAGGCAGCAGUGAGGAAUAUUGGACAAUGGGUUAGCGCCUGAUCCAGCCAUCCCGCGUGAAGGACGACGGCCCUAUGGGUUGUAAACUUCUUUUGUAUAGGGAUAAACCUACUCUCGUGAGAGUAGCUGAAGGUACUAUACGAAUAAGCACCGGCUAACUCCGUG